Long non-coding RNA from Peromyscus eremicus (cactus mouse), 1539 nucleotides. RefSeq lists it as uncharacterized. The transcript is spliced from 2 exons. The record is from RefSeq and is a predicted model, not a curated record. NCBI's taxonomy places the organism in Eukaryota, Metazoa, Chordata, Mammalia, Rodentia, Cricetidae.
GGCACUCUGUUUCUCCUCUAUUGAAGCACUCACCCAGAAGAAUAUGAUGUUUAUUAAUUGCAUCCUAAAGAGAGACUACAAGACUCAUGAGGAGAAGAUUUAACAUGGUAACCUUUAUACACCAGCACAAAUGUCUGUCAUAUUUGUGGUUUGAGUACAUAUUUAAAACUAUAUUAUGAGAUGUUUAAAAUGUCCCAAUGUCCCAAAAACCUCUAAAACAAUAUUACUGAAUGUGUUUGUGAGAAACUUCAGUGUAAUAAGCCUAAAAGAAAAUGCAUUGACUGCAUGCCCGUGAGAAUUCUAUAUCACUUCUAACUUUUAGUUGAAAUCUGUCCUGGGUGUUUCAUCUUUUCAUCCUUUGUUACUAUGACAUAUUUUUUUAUUGUAAUUAGGCUUUGUAUAUUAUUUUUUACAAUUUUUUACAAUAGAGAUAACAGUAAAAUUACACAUCACAACACAAAUUAAAAAGAAAGGUAAUAAUGCCAUUUACUGAAUAUUUAUUCUCCUUUCACUUCCUAAUUUGAGUUAUAUUGAAUCAAAGUAAUGGCUUUCCUAGAAUCAUUUCUUAUAUUAACAAUAAAAAAAUUGUAUGACAAGAAGCAUUCAUUGAGUGACAGACUGAUAAAGGCCUCUUAAUUAAGCAUUUACAAUAUUCAUUCUAUACUUUAUUUAUCUCAUAUCUGAAUAGCCCCAUCUCCUGAGCCAUGGUUGAGUGUAACUGUAUACUACAUAUGUCAAAAGCAAAACAACUACAAUUAAAAUUACAAAACCAGGUAAAGUUACAGUAAAAAGAAUGCCAAGUGAAUUUUAUUAUUUAAUAUAGUGAAUUUUACAAGAACCUUGAAUUUCACAAAGAGAGAUAAAUGUCUUUUGAGGAGAAUAAUUUGCUAUGGGAUUGCUCUUGAACUAUAUCGUGUCAGAACAUUCGGGGAUAUCUCGUCUAUGUUAAGGCUUUUGUAUGAAAGGCUAUUUUUUUUUUUUGGUGCAAGUGUAAUAUGGGAUCCCAAAGUUUUGGUAAUUUGUAAUUUGCUUGCUUCUAGUGAGUUCCACUUGCCAACCACCAGAGCCAAAGAUGAUUUAUAUUUGUUCUGCUAUUUCCUUUGUUUUUAUAUUUCUUUAGUUCCCUAGAGAAUAUGUUCUUUCCAGUCAGAUGAACUUAAUUUAAUGCAAGAUAAUUGGAAUGAGUACCUCUAUUCUUUUUAAAAUAUUUAUGCGGACUUCAUAGAAAACACUUCACUGUGGUGACAAAAGAGAAAAUUCCAUCCAGUUGGUAGCCGUUCCAGCUUUGAUCUGGAAGGACCACCCCCAUUGAGGUUCCGGUAACUAUCACACAUACAAGGCAGAGCUGAGAGAGGACCCUUGAAGACCUGGGAUCUGGAUUGGCAUGCUCUCUUGGUUCCUGGACCCUGGACGCUGGAGGUAGACUGAGCAGAAUUCUCCAGAGAACACCACCGGACUGUGCUGCACCUUUCCCAGACCCUGUUACCUAUCCUUUCACUUGUGAGUUACCCCAUAAAAUAAACCUCCCUUUUAACUACA